GAAUAUUGGACAAUGGGGGCAACCCUGAUCCAGCCAUGCCGCGUGUGUGAAGAAGGCUUUCGGGUUGUAAAGCACUUUCAGUGGUGAGGAAGGGGGUCGUGUUAAUAGCACGGCUCAUUGACGCUAGCCACAGAAGAAGCACCGGCUAACUCCGUGCCAGCAGCCGCGGUAAUACGGAGGGUGCGAGCGUUAAUCGGAAUUACGGGGCGUAAAGCGCGCGUAGGCGGUGUGUUAAGUGAGAUGUGAAAGCCCCGGGCUCAACCUGGGAACGGCAUCUUAUACUGGCACGCUAGACUAUGGCAGAGGUGAGUAGAAUUCCCGGUGUAGCGGUGAAAUGCGUAGAGAUCGGGAGGAAUACCAGUGGCGAAGGCGGCUCACUGGGCCAAUACUGACGCUGAGGUGCGAAAGCGUGGGGAGCAAACA
This 423-nucleotide ribosomal RNA is filed under the name uncultured bacterium. RNAcentral's name for it is "bacterial SSU rRNA". It matches the Rfam family "Bacterial small subunit ribosomal RNA", at positions 359 to 774 of the family's 1533-position model. The record is from RNAcentral.